UUGCAGCAACAAAGGAUCAAAUCCGCAACCCUUCUUCUCAAUUCUUCUCCAAAAUUCAAAUGAUCAUAACUUCUUCGUUUCUCAACGAAAUUUAGCGAUUCUUGCGGCCACGGAACGAGGAAACGAUUAUCUACAGCUCUAUGGGUUGAAUUUGAGGUAAGAAAAUCGAAUUUCAGUUAAGGUUUCAGAGUUAUAUUUCGAGUUUUACAAGUUUGAUGGUGAUGAUGCUUGAUUAACUAAGACUUGAUGUUUAUGCUAUGUAGUUGAUUAGUUGUAGUGAUUAUGGAUGAAAAUUGAUUGAUUAUGAUGAGUGUGAGAGUUGUUCUUGGUUAGUGUUCAUGAGCUAAUUUAGGGAUUUUUAUUAAUUUGUUUUGUGAGGUGUUUACAAGCUUCCAUGGAAGGUUUUUGAUGAUGAAUUUGGGCAUGAAACCUUCGGCCAAGAGACAAUCAUCAAGACUCGAAGAAGCGACUAUCGACAAGGCUCGGAAUUUAGAAGAUUGUGACAUCGCUUAGCCGCUUUAAAGUAUAUGGAUAGCAAGUGCGGAAUAAGCUAAAAAGGGAAGUUCUAAAGCUAUAAAUAGUGGCGGAGAUUUUUCAACACUUGGGAUCUCGUCAUCGUGAAUUUGUGAUCUUCCUUCCUCAUCGCCACUGUCCAUUUCACUGUCGCAUUUCACUCGGUCCAAUCCCUGCAAUCCACAGCAUCGUCCUCUCGUUAAUCUCCACCUUCAUUUUCAUCGGCUUAUUAUUAUCAGCAGUCGCAGAUAUAUGUGACACCGGCUGGUUUUGGCGACGAAUCAAAACUACCUUCACCUUCCAAUGGCUUCUUUGUUUCUCACAAGGCAAGAGACCCGCCGGCAGAGUUUUUAUUCUAGUCAUACAUUUUUUAUUUCUCUCGAUUCUUUCAUUUACUCUCGACAUUCUUUACAAUAUUACAAUAUCGAAAAAUAUCUCCUUUUUAUUUGGAUUGAGAUUUGAGAAGAAUUAGUAAAGGUUGAAAGGAGUUAGAAAAUUUCA
This is a long non-coding RNA of Mercurialis annua (annual mercury), 1014 nucleotides long. RefSeq lists it as uncharacterized. The record is from RefSeq and is a predicted model, not a curated record. The transcript is spliced from 4 exons. Lineage: Eukaryota; Viridiplantae; Streptophyta; Magnoliopsida; Malpighiales; Euphorbiaceae.